RNAcentral lists this ribosomal RNA (468 nucleotides) under uncultured bacterium. RNAcentral describes it as "partial 16S ribosomal RNA". It matches the Rfam family "Bacterial small subunit ribosomal RNA", at positions 28 to 507 of the family's 1533-position model. The record is from RNAcentral.
GACGAACGCUGGCGGCGUGCUUAACACAUGCAAGUCGAACGGAAAGACCCUGCUUUUGUGGGGUGCUCGAGUGGCGAACGGGUGAGUAACACGUGAGUAACCUGCCCUUGACUUUGGGAUAACUUCAGGAAACUGGGGCUAAUACCGGAUAGGAGCUCCUGCUGCAUGGUGGGGGUUGGAAAGUUUCGGCGGUUGGGGAUGGACUCGCGGCUUAUCAGCUUGUUGGUGGGGUAGUGGCUUACCAAGGCUUUGACGGGUAGCCGGCCUGAGAGGGUGACCGGCCACAUUGGGACUGAGAUACGGCCCAGACUCCUACGGGAGGCAGCAGUGGGGAAUAUUGCACAAUGGGCGGAAGCCUGAUGCAGCAACGCCGCGUGCGGGAUGACGGCCUUCGGGUUGUAAACCGCUUUCGCCUGUGACGAAGCGUGAGUAACGGUAAUGGGUAAAGAAGCACCGGCUAACUACGUG